UACCCCUAGCAAAUCUCAAAAAACCGUCUCAGCUCGGAUUGGGGUCUGCAACUCGACCCCAUGAAGUUGGAAUCGCUAGUAAUCGUAGAUCAGCAUGCUACGGUGAAUACGUUCCCGGGCCUUGUACACACCGCCCGUCACACCAUGGGAGUUGGCUUUACCUGAAGGCGGUGCGCUAACCAGCAAUGGAGGCAGCCGACCACGGUAGGGUCAGCGACUGGGGUGAAG
Molecule: ribosomal RNA, 228 nt
Filed under: uncultured Nitrobacter sp.
Lineage: Bacteria; Pseudomonadati; Pseudomonadota; Alphaproteobacteria; Hyphomicrobiales; Nitrobacteraceae
Description: partial 16S ribosomal RNA
Rfam family: Bacterial small subunit ribosomal RNA
Source: RNAcentral